UUCGUAGGGGGCUAGCGUUGUCCGGAAUCAUUGGGCGUAAAGAGCGUGUAGGCGGUCCGGUAAGUCCGCUGUGAAAGUCGGGGGCUCAACCCUCGAAUGCCGGUGGAUACUGUCGGGCUAGAGUGCGGAAGAGGCGAGUGGAAUUCCUGGUGUAGCGGUGAAAUGCGCAGAUAUCAGGAGGAACACCUAUUGCGAAGGCAGCUCGCUGGGACGUAACUGACGCUGAGACGCGAAAGCGUGGGGAGCAAACAGG
Molecule: ribosomal RNA, 253 nt
Filed under: uncultured bacterium
Lineage: Bacteria
Description: partial 16S ribosomal RNA
Rfam family: Bacterial small subunit ribosomal RNA
Source: RNAcentral